This 344-nucleotide unclassified non-coding RNA is filed under the name soil metagenome. RNAcentral's name for it is "partial contains 5.8S ribosomal RNA, internal transcribed spacer 2, and large subunit ribosomal RNA". The stretch from base 1 to 120 matches the Rfam family "5.8S ribosomal RNA", at positions 35 to 154 of the family's 154-position model. The record is from RNAcentral.
GAUGAAGAACGUAGCGAAAUGCGAUAAGUAAUGUGAAUCGCAGAAUUCAGUGAAUCAUCGAAUCUUUGAACGCACAUUGCGCCCGCCAGUAUUCUGGCGGGCAUGCCUGUUCGAGCGUCAUUUCAACCCUCAGGGCCCUUUUGGACCUGGCGUUGGGGCUCGGCCGCUACCCUGCGGCCGUCCCCGAAAGAUAGUGGCGGUCUCGCUGUAGCCUCCUCUGCGUAGUAGUUACAUCUCGCACUGGAACGCGGCGCGGCCAUGCCGUUAAACACCCCACUUCUCAAGGUUGACCUCGGAUCAGGUAGGAAUACCCGCUGAACUUAAGCAUAUCAAUAAGCGGAGGA